AAAGCAAGCUGGAGAGGGAGAGAGGAUGGGAGGCGAGGAGGCAGCCUGAGGGAAGGAACAGGAGGGAAGAGAGAUGAAGGGCAAGACCAGGGCCAGCCAUGCCUGUCCUAACAGCAGCCACCCAGCAGUGGCCCAGCCUGCUGAGAACUAGAAAAUCAGAAGAAAAAGGAGAAUCCACCAGGAGACCCAGGUUCCCAUGAGCAGGGGCCUUUAUCUGAAGUUAAUGGAAGCUGAGCCAGGUCCUGACAAUGUGCCUUCUGAUGGGGAGAUGAGACUUUCCUCUGAAAGCUAAGGUAACUCUGAAGCGUGAGCUGCCAGAAUUCAAGGCCACCUGCUUAACAGAAGACAACUAGAAACCUCAUCCAUGAGCAUAACGUUAUGUGGCUCAUUGUUUACCCGCUGCCUGCCUCCCGGCUGGAGAGGCGCAGGGAGCUGCCUGUCCCUCCUGUUCAGAGCCACCGUUCCGCACCUGGACCACCGCUUGGCAGAGGCGGGAGUGGAGGCUGUCACCAUCAGGAUGAAGGACAGGGGUGGCCCGGCGUG
Molecule: small RNA, 543 nt
Filed under: Pan troglodytes (chimpanzee)
Lineage: Eukaryota; Metazoa; Chordata; Mammalia; Primates; Hominidae
Description: processed transcript
Source: RNAcentral